This 253-nucleotide ribosomal RNA is filed under the name uncultured bacterium. RNAcentral's name for it is "partial 16S ribosomal RNA". It matches the Rfam family "Bacterial small subunit ribosomal RNA", at positions 524 to 776 of the family's 1533-position model. The record is from RNAcentral.
UACGUAGGGCGCAAGCGUUGUCCGGAAUUAUUGGGCGUAAAGAGCUCGUAGGCGGUUUGUCGCGUCUGUCGUGAAAGCUUGGGGCUUAACCCCAAGUCUGCGGUGGAUACGGGCAGACUAGAGGCAGGUAGGGGAGAACGGAAUUCCUGGUGUAGCGGUGAAAUGCGCAGAUAUCAGGAGGAACACCGGUGGCGAAGGCGGUUCUCUGGGCAUGUCCUGACGCUGAGGAGCGAAAGUGUGGGGAGCGAACAGG